Long non-coding RNA from Saccostrea cuccullata (small rock oyster), 708 nucleotides. RefSeq lists it as uncharacterized. The record is from RefSeq and is a predicted model, not a curated record. Lineage: Eukaryota; Metazoa; Mollusca; Bivalvia; Ostreida; Ostreidae. The transcript has 4 exons.
GGUGCUCAAAAUAACAAUUUACCGAUAUUUGCAAGAAUUUGUAAUAACCAGCAAUAUCUUCAUGUUGAAAUAGAAAAUACUUAAUGAUUUUCUCGUAUAUAUAAUAGCAUGUCUUUAAAAUAAUUCUCUUUUUAAUGUGUCGUUUGUCUGCAUUCGGCUUCAGCCAAGCGCUUGCACUCGGUGACACGGAAUUUUGUUUAUAUCUAAAAACGUGGCGACAUCAGCUGAGAUUUGCAGUGGAUUUAAAUGCAAUAGCCACACAAUCUUUAAAGAAAAUAGAGAUAAAAUAAGAGACACGGCAUUGUUCUUCCUUUUACGAGAAUAUGAGGACAUUAUUUCGGCAAAUAGCAGAAAACUGAGACGAUAUGCACAAGCUCCGUAGAUCCAUCACUGCACUGAAAUUCCAGGCCAGCUGUCAAGAGUAUCAGGCUUAAAGAAUGAAUAAAUAAAAAAUGCAUCAUUUCUCCACAGGGCAUAGCUAUUCCCUAGGACUAAUGGAUUCAUUCAGGCAGGAAGUUAAUCUAUCAUUUAAGAAAAAUGAAUUCAUUUUAUCCACAAGAACAUGAAGUGAUGGAAAUAAUUUGCACCUGCCCAGCAUUCCUAGGCCUACAGUCUAUCAUUGGAUUUGAAAAGAAAUGUUUAUUUAAUAAUUUGUCUAGAUAAAUAAAAUAAUUUGACUUUUUAAUUUAUUUACUGUUCAUGUGUUGA